RNAcentral lists this ribosomal RNA (534 nucleotides) under uncultured bacterium. RNAcentral's name for it is "partial 16S ribosomal RNA". It matches the Rfam family "Bacterial small subunit ribosomal RNA", at positions 355 to 902 of the family's 1533-position model. The record is from RNAcentral.
UGGGGAAUAUUGCACAAUGGGCGAAAGCCUGAUGCAGCAACGCCGCGUGAGUGAUGAAGGCCUUCGGGUUGUAAAGCUCUGUCUUUUGGGACGAUAAUGACGGUACCAAAGGAGGAAGCCACGGCUAACUACGUGCCAGCAGCCGCGGUAAUACGUAGGUGGCAAGCGUUGUCCGGAUUUACUGGGCGUAAAGGAUGCGUAGGCGGAUUUUUAAGUGAGAUGUGAAAUACCCGGGCUUAACUUGGGUGCUGCAUUUCAAACUGGGAAUCUAGAGUGCGGGAGAGGAGAAUGGAAUUCCUAGUGUAGCGGUGAAAAUGCGUAGAGAUUAGGAAGAACACCAGUGGCGAAGGCGAUUCUCUGGACCGUAACUGACGCUGAGGCAUGAAAGCGUGGGUAGCAAAACAGGAUUAGAUACCCUGGUAGUCCACGCCGUAAACGAUGAGUACUAGGUGUAGGAGGUAUCGACCCCUUCUGUGCCGCAGUUAACACAAUAAGUACUCCGCCUGGGAAGUACGAUCGCAAGAUUAAAAACUU